GGCAGUGUGGCAUAGUGGCUUGAGUGUUGGACUAUAACUUUGGAGAACAGGGUUUGAAUCCCCGCUCGGCCA
Non-coding RNA from Phrynosoma platyrhinos (Desert horned lizard), 72 nucleotides. NCBI's taxonomy places the organism in Eukaryota, Metazoa, Chordata, Lepidosauria, Squamata, Phrynosomatidae. The record is from the annotation of a GenBank genome assembly.